UACGUAGGGUGCGAGCGUUAAUCGGAAUUACUGGGCGUAAAGGGCGCGUAGGCGGCCCGCUAAGUCGAACGUGAAAUCCCCGAGCUCAACUCGGGAACUGCGUCCGAUACUGGCGGGCUUGAAUCCGGGAGAGGGAUGCGGAAUUCCAGGUGUAGUGGUGAAAUGCGUAGAUAUCGGGAGGAACACCGGUGGCGAAGGCGGUCUGCUGGGCAGUUGCUGACACUGAGGCGCGACAGCGUGGGGAGCAAACAGG
Molecule: ribosomal RNA, 253 nt
Filed under: uncultured bacterium
Lineage: Bacteria
Description: partial 16S ribosomal RNA
Rfam family: Bacterial small subunit ribosomal RNA
Source: RNAcentral